CAGGAGCCCUAAGCUUGCCCAACUGGGCAGAGGGAUCCUUCUCCCGUCGUGACUGGGUGGAGUUCAUUCUUUAUAGGUUUCAUGGGUUCAUCAGCCUGAAGAGCUGUAAAUCUGUGUUUUCUACCUACCUGGAAAGUAUAACUGACCAUUUUGCUACAUGAGUACCAGCUGCUCCAGCAAUUCUACUCUGCAAAAAUGAACUGAGGUUUACUGGUCUGACUACAAGCAUCUGGAAAUAACAAAUGUGAGGGGAUCACCCAGAAGAAGCCAGGAGAAGGAGGUCAGAGAUUGUCUGCAUCCUUUCCCCAGAAGCCAGGAAGAUUCAAGCCUCAACGUCCAACAAGACAGAAUCCCAUGAAAGUAUUUGGGCACUGUCUGGACUGUGGCUAGCCCCUGCAAGGGUAAUAAUAAUAAUCUGUGAAUAAAUGCUCAAUGUCUCUUUGUAAUUCUCUAUUUCCCUCUGCCAUAGAGCAGAAAGAACUUGAGCCCAGCUUCUGGGCAAACAGCAUAUUGGCCACAAGCAGCACUGACCACAGGAAUAGUCUCUUCCAAUUCGAUUAAUAUUUAUGUAUUUUGCUGGUUAUAUUAGAUGUAGAUAUUAUCCAUAGAAUGUUUCCAUGACCAUGUAAGAACCAGAAUAUUACUAAAAUCAGUGGUCAGGGGUGGUGAGAGUUCUGGAUGGCAAAAUUAAUAAACAAUAUUAAUUUUGGAAAAUA
Molecule: long non-coding RNA, 716 nt
Organism: Pogoniulus pusillus (Red-fronted tinkerbird)
Lineage: Eukaryota; Metazoa; Chordata; Aves; Piciformes; Lybiidae
Exons: 3
Source: RefSeq, a predicted model, not a curated record